This 258-nucleotide ribosomal RNA is filed under the name uncultured bacterium. RNAcentral describes it as "partial 16S ribosomal RNA". It matches the Rfam family "Bacterial small subunit ribosomal RNA", at positions 793 to 1055 of the family's 1533-position model. The record is from RNAcentral.
GUCCACACAGUAAACGAUGAAUACUCGCUGUUUGCGAUAUACAGUAAGCGGCCAAGCGAAAGCGUUAAGUAUUCCACCUGGGGAGUACGCCGGCAACGGUGAAACUCAAAGGAAUUGACGGGGGCCCCGCACAAGCGGAGGAACAUGUGGUUUAAUUCGAUGAUACGCGAGGAACCUUACCCGGGCUUGAAUUGCAACUGAAUGAUGUGGAGACAUGUCAGCCGCAAGGCAGUUGUGAAGGUGCUGCAUGGUUGUCGU